GACUUCUCUCAACCACAUCGAUCAUGAAUGUGGCUUGGAUUGUGGGGUUGCAGGCUUCUACAAAUGAAGUCCAGCUUUCCUGAAAUGCAUUAGUGGUGUCUGAGCUGCUAUUUGGUGUGAUAACUUAUCUAUGCCUUUUGGUAAUGCUGAUCAGCACGGCUUAUAACAACAUAUUUUGACAA
RNAcentral lists this unclassified non-coding RNA (182 nucleotides) under uncultured Inocybe. RNAcentral describes it as "sequence contains ITS2". The record is from RNAcentral. Lineage: Eukaryota; Fungi; Basidiomycota; Agaricomycetes; Agaricales; Cortinariaceae.